Molecule: long non-coding RNA, 5876 nt
Organism: Mesocricetus auratus (golden hamster)
Lineage: Eukaryota; Metazoa; Chordata; Mammalia; Rodentia; Cricetidae
Exons: 3
Source: RefSeq, a predicted model, not a curated record
UCCAUUUAUUAUUUGCAAGGGGGUUUAUAUCCGCACAUCCAGGUGGUAGAACCACUUCUGUUUCAAACAUGGACUGGGGAAAGACAUUAAGUUUGGAGCAGCUCAGGGCUACGGAUCUAGCCUUUCUCCCUCGGGUCUCCAGACUCACUUAGGUCCAAGCUGCGGAGCAGGGACAGCGGAGCCCAGGCAGCCACGUUCAGGCCCAGCCAUCAGCUGCUGAGAAGCAAAAGGAAACCUACUCCUUUGGAAGACCAUUCCCCUAGGUGACCUUGCCACUGCUGUGGACCCCCUUCAACACUGGUCGCUGAACACCGACUUCAAGAAGACUCCAUGGAUGACGUCCAGUCUUAUCAACUGCAGCUUUCCCUGUACAUUUCCUUCUUUGCUUUCUUCCUUCCAUUGAGGCUCUCAUCAGGGUCAAAUCAGAGAUGACCCAACUGGACAACAGACUGGAGGACUGACCUCUUAAGAGUGCCAACGCUUAACAGUGCGCUGUCAGAUCCAUAGAAAGAUAAGAAGAAGACAAUACACUAUGUGGAAGGGAGAGGAAUGGCUUGAUAAUUACUUAGAGGCUGAGAGUUAGGAACAAUCAAAUUUAGAAGAAUGUGGACUUUCUGUUUUUUAACUGCAGGACUUCUGUUUCCCCCCUACUGGGAUGUAUAAUCUGGGUGUUCCUGCUGGAAUGUGAGUCAGAGGAGCGGCUAAGUAGUCUAGUGGUUUUCCCACUUAGCUCUUGUCCUUUAGAAAGAGACACCAAACCAUUAGUCUCUAUAUUGCAUCUCUGUACUAUACGUCUGUCUGCACUUUUGACCUGGAAGACAUUGGCAUUGCCUAUAUUGUAGGAUAAAGGUCAAUGAUCAUGUUGAAGGAGAGACACUUGCUGGAAGCAAAGAGAAUCAAAUGAUUGAACUUCACUCAUCUACCCAGUGGUCACAGAGCUGGCAGCCCUCCACACUCCAAGCCUCUACUCAGCUGGGUGUGGUGAAACUCUAGCACUUAGGAGGCUUCAGUAGGAGAAUCUCAUAUUGAAGCUCUGACUGGGCUACACAGAGACUCUCAAAACAAAACAACAGUAACAACACCCCUUCCCUUGAAAAAAGAUUCCUGACAUUAAAGAGCCUGUUUUAUCAGCUUAGUUUAAUGGUUUAUUUUAUAUAAAAGAAAUAUAUUUUUUGAUCUUUUUCAUGGCAAAUAAAUUAUUUCAAUAAUUCUGACUGGAUUGCAAUCUAUAUACUAUGCCCCUCUAAAAAAUAUUGCAAUAGUCUUUGCCACACAGAGGAGUGUUGCUUCUUAGCUAGUGAGCUUGUUAACCAAAAAUGACCAUCUAGAUCAGGCUUUCUUAAACUGUUUCUAUUCAUUGUCCCUUUCCUUUGAGAAAUUUUUAUAUGACUCCAUGUACAUAAAGUAGUUCUAUAAAUCAAACAGUUACUCAUAAUAAAUUAUUAAGAAAUAUGUCUCAAAAUAAUUCUUUUAUACACAGAUAAUUCCUACGGUUCAUAAUUCAUAGUUUUUCAAGACAGGUUUUUCUUUAGAGUAGCUUUGAGUCUGUCCUGGAAGUUGCUCUGUAGGCCAGGCUGGCCUAGAAACUACAGGGAUUGACCUAUCUCAGCCUCCUGAGUGCCAGGGUUAAAGGAAUGUAUUACCAUCAUCUGACAAUUUUGAUACAUAUUAAAAAUAAAAAAUCUGUAUACUAAAAAGAUAUAGGUGCUUUCUCACUGUGCCAGAAGGAAUUACACCUUGAUAGAAAAUUUGAUUUUGGCAGGACACAGAAAGUCUUCACCAUUCUCCAGAAUUGACUAUUAUUUUGAUUUUAUAACCAUCCAUGCUGAGAAUUCUACUUUAUAUAAAAAUUUGCAAAAUGGUAAUAGAAUAAAAAUGACAGAAGUAUAUUUAGAGUCAUUUCAAAGAUUGUUGGCAGUUCUAUCUUAAUACCAAUCCAAAACUUAUUCGAUAAAUUUAAAAAUAAAACUAAGUCAGUAAACUACUUUGUCUCUAAGCUGGCAGAAAACACUGUAUAGAUAAUAAAAGCAUUGUGAUACAUGGAAUAGAGUAGUCUCAGGUCAUCAUUUGUUGCUGUUGUAUACGACAUGUAAAGUGUUAAAUGUGCAUGUUCUGUGCCCUUAGAUCCAAGGACUCAAUGAACUUGUGGGAUGCAAUACAGGUGAGCAUGCCCUGAAACACCUCAGAUUUGUUAUGCAUUGGAAUUUAAAUUAACUAUUGGUUGUUCCAGAUUCAGAAACCCUUCACUGCUGCAGUAUUCUUCGAAACCCCUACAUUCAGUUUUGUGCCCCACAUGUGGAUGGGAGCCUCCAUAUAAGAUUAGAAGCUGGGUUUUAAAUACUUAUUGACUGGUUUAAGAAAGAUGUUCCAUCAAGGUUUAGCUGGAGGUGUUGGGCGUCAAACAGAGGGGCUCAUCCUCCAUGCAUCUUUUUUGAAACUAACAAGGACAGUCAGUUCUUUCUUGAUAAGAACAUUGCUGCUUAGGACUUUAAAUUGUCUUUCAAGUAUUUACUUCAACAUCUCCUAGAAGAAAAUCUAGCUUCAGAGUUUAUUAUUAUGUAUAUUGGUUUGCAGUGCACAAGACUAAACCCAGGGCCUUGUGCGUAUUAUGCAAGGACUCUUGCUCUACCUCAACUCUAAACUUAGUCUGAAUGCACCAGUCUUUGCAUGCUCUCAACUACCUUUUUUGGGGGGGGUUCUUUAGUUUCAAUUUAUUCUCUCCUUUUGUUGUUGCUGUUCCUGGGUACGUGAUAAUUUUUAUUUCAUGUGGUUGUGGUAAGCUAAGUAUGAAAAAUUAGAAAUGCCAAAGUGUGGAAUUUGAUGAAAUAAAGAUACAAAGUACACCAUGUUGUCAUGUAAGGGAAUGAGGUAGUUCUCUAUAUGGAAUCACUUUCAAGACAUAUAACUAACAUUUAGUAGGCAAAGCAUAGAACAAUAUACGCAGUGUGCUACUGUUUGUAUAUGCAUAUACAGAGGUAUAUUCAGUAUGCUUCUAUGCUUUGUGUGGCCAUGGAAAGACAUUAAGGAAGUGAUAAUAGUGGUUGUCUCUAGGGAGAAAUUGGCUGGGAGAUUGGAAGACUAUUCUGCUGUCCUAUUAUAUAGUGUAACAUGUUCAUGUAUUAUCUAUUAAUAUUUUUAUAAGGCAGAAGGCAGAGCUAUUUUUACUGAGAUGGAAAAAUAUAAAAGGCAUAUUGUUAUGUAUAAAGAACAAAUUAUGGAAUAGUGUAACUAGUAUAUGAUCUGGCUUUUGUAAAGUAAUCAUAAAUAUAUAUAUUGUAAAGUAAUCAUAAAUAUAUAUACAUACAUACUUACAUCCAUAUAUAUACACACAUAUAUAUAUGGAUGGCAAACACUUGUAUGUGUAAGAACGUGAACCAAAGUCAGGGGAGAUAGGAAAUGUGUGUUCAGGUAUAGACUUUCACUUUUUUUAUCCUAUGCACUUCUGUUUUCAUGCCAAGCACAUCACACAUCGAUAUACUAGAAAUAAUUCAUAAAGCAUUAAUUAAACUGGACACCAAUCAAAACUUUGCAGAUCAAUGUUUUGGUUCAGCUAUUCAUGUUGUAUCUCACAGACUCAGGUCUGAUCUCUUUCUCAAUCUCCUCUUUGAGGCUUGCUGAAUCUCCCAUUCCUUUGCCCAUGCUUUUCUCUGCUUCCCAGCAUUAAGAGGGCCAAGCUAAGGUUGUCACUAAGAAGCCACACUAACACCGCUAUGGAUUCUCUGUCAACCACUUUCCUUUUAAAUUAAAUUAACGAAUCUUUUGGAGACAGGCUGUCUUGAGGUUGCUAUGUAGAUGUUGAUGACCUUGAACUCCUGAUCCUCCAGCUUCGGCACCCCAAGCACUGGGAUUUAAGGUGUGAUGGGACCAGAGCUUCAUAUUCACUAGGUGAGCAUUCUCCCAACUGAGUUACAUCCCCAGCCACAUUCAUUUUCUUUGUAAUUAAUACAAAAAAAAUGAGGUUGCUCAAAUCUCUGUUUGCCGACUUUACAGUCUUCGCUUUGGGUUAAAUGAAUCACCCCACCUCUUUAGGAAGGUACCUAGGUUUUCUGGAUCAUUUAUAUCAAUCAUCACAUAAGUCCAGUAAGGCUCCAAUCUCAACAAACAAAACCCAAGAAACCCUCUUUGCCUCCACACUUCUUCCAAAAACUGCUCCAUUUCUCCAACCUCGUGGUGAUUCUUAAAAUGUUUCCCUUACUUUUGUAAAGCCCCCCCCCAUGCCCUCAUUCACUUGGCAUCCCACUUCUCUCACAAUUUCAAUGGCGACCAAAUGUUCUCCCUAAUUUCUGUUUUCAAGGUCAUGGUAUUUGGUUGCAAAAUCGGUGGUUCUCAUCUUCUCAAUUCAUUGAUCAAAUGCCUCCUUGGUCUUCAUUUUUCCUUCUUCUCUUCUCCUCUCCUUGUCUCUUGGAUCUCCCCCUAUGUUACAGUGGUUCCUUCUUUAUUCUUUUCACCUUGGAAUGUUGGGUUUCUCAUGGCUUCACUCUUGGAGACAUCUGUCUUCUUGCUUUAAACUAAUUUGUGUUUAACUCUGAAUAGCAUUUCCAUACUGCUAUCUGAUCAAACUCCAACUUGUACCUAGACUUACAGAUUCACUGUCUUUUUGAUACUAAUAUUUAACUUUGUAAGAGCCAUCUCAAACCUAGCAGAACAGAUAGACCUCUUUAUGUCGAUAAAUGACAACUCCAUUGGAGUUUUCCUUUUUGAAUAUGACCUGAACCUAAUUACUUUCUAUAGCUUUCAUACCAAAACCCCUGUCUAGCAUCUGCACCAGUCACCUGACUUAGAACAAUAGACUCUUGUAGAACUUGGCUCCUUAAAAAUCUGUGUGUUUUAAAUACAUAAAUUACAGCAUAUCAUUGCUUUGCACAACAUUCUCAAAUGGUUUCUACCACAUUCAGCAUAAAAUCUACAGUCCUUUCUAUAAACUUUAAGGCUUGCAAUGCCUCUUAAACUCACCUUUUAUCUCUGAUCUCAUUCUAUCCUUACCCCCUUCACUGUUUUCAUGUCAGAGCAACCUGGCUGCUUUUGGCACAUGCUUCCACCUCAGAACUGGUACUUACAGUAUCUGCCAGGAAGACUCUUUGAUGUGCUCCUUUCCUUUAUCCUGCCCAUGUGUCACCUCAUCAGAAAAUCUUCCUUGAGCACUGUGUCUGGAGCACUAGGCUGUCUCACUCGGACCAUGUACCCCGAUUUAUUUUCUGUAUCGCCUGAUAUGUUGCCUAUGCAUUUGACUAAUAUUUGCUUAUGAUUUAUCUGCCCAAGAAUAGACAAAACAGCUAUUUUGUCUCAGUUAAUACAUCUCUAAUAUUCAGAAGAAAAUGAUUGUUACAGAGUAACUUAAAAGAAUUUUCUGAGUUUUCAAAAGAGAUGAUAAGAGGUUCUCUUUAGCAUAUUUUCGUUACAUGAAAUUCUUAAGAUGGUUUAUUUUUCCAUUAAAAAUUUCUCCUGUCUUUAAGUUACAAAAAACUGUUUCAUUUUUUUUCUUUAGAAACUAUUGUAGACUCACAAAUACUGGCAAAAGUAGUAUAAAUAACUCUAUUUACUCUUCAUCUAUUGUUUCCCAAAUUGUUUUCUCUAACCAUCCUUCUAAUUUUCUAAGCUCUAGUUUCUUCAAUCUUUUACAAUUUUAUUUUAAAACACAGAUUGCCAGGAUCUCCCUGCCAACUCUUGAAAACCUAGGAACUUACCCAUAGUAGACAAGCUCUAUGCCAUGUCUCCCCCUGACCCAAUUCCCCUUCUUAUUUUGUUGGUGUAUUUUCUUCUACACCAGAUUCAAAUUCCUCUGCCAAGAUGAUGUAUUAUGCAAGAAAGGGAAAGGAUAUUUUAAUUAAAUGGGAGAAAAUAGGUUUAACCAAAGUUUUUAAUAGUUAAAAGAAAAA